RNAcentral lists this ribosomal RNA (800 nucleotides) under uncultured bacterium. RNAcentral describes it as "bacterial SSU rRNA". It matches the Rfam family "Bacterial small subunit ribosomal RNA", at positions 87 to 883 of the family's 1533-position model. The record is from RNAcentral.
GCCGGCGAGCGGCGGACGGGUGAGUAAUGCCUAGGAAUCUGCCUGGUAGUGGGGGAUAACUCGGGGAAACUCGAGCUAAUACCGCAUACGUCCUACGGGAGAAAGCGGGGGAUCUUCGGACCUCGCGCUACCAGAUGAGCCUAGGUCGGAUUAGCUAGUUGGUGGGGUAAAGGCUCACCAAGGCGACGAUCCGUAACUGGUCUGAGAGGAUGAUCAGUCACACUGGAACUGAGACACGGUCCAGACUCCUACGGGAGGCAGCAGUGGGGAAUAUUGGACAAUGGGCGAAAGCCUGAUCCAGCCAUGCCGCGUGUGUGAAGAAGGUCUUCGGAUUGUAAAGCACUUUAAGUUGGGAGGAAGGGCAGUAAGUUAAUACCUUGCUGUUUUGACGUUACCGACAGAAUAAGCACCGGCUAACUUCGUGCCAGCAGCCGCGGUAAUACGAAGGGUGCAAGCGUUAAUCGGAAUUACUGGGCGUAAAGCGCGCGUAGGUGGUUUGAUAAGUUGGAUGUGAAAGCCCCGGGCUCAACCUGGGAAUUGCAUCCAAAACUGUCUGGCUAGAGUAUGGCAGAGGGUGGUGGAAUUUCCUGUGUAGCGGUGAAAUGCGUAGAUAUAGGAAGGAACACCAGUGGCGAAGGCGACCACCUGGGCUAAUACUGACACUGAGGUGCGAAAGCGUGGGGAGCAAACAGGAUUAGAUACCCCGGUAGUCCACGCCGUAAACGAUGUCGACUAGCCGUUGGGAUCCUUGAGAUCUUAGUGGCGCAGCUAACGCAUUAAGUCGACCGCCUGGGGAGUAC